This 476-nucleotide ribosomal RNA is filed under the name uncultured soil bacterium. RNAcentral describes it as "bacterial SSU rRNA". It matches the Rfam family "Bacterial small subunit ribosomal RNA", at positions 26 to 518 of the family's 1533-position model. The record is from RNAcentral.
AGGACGAACGCUGGCGGCGUGCUUAACACAUGCAAGUCGAACGGAAAGGCCCUGCUUUUGUGGGGUGCUCGAGUGGCGAACGGGUGAGUAACACGUGAGUAACCUGCCCUUGACUUUGGGAUAACUUCAGGAAACUGGGGCUAAUACCGGAUAGGAGCUCCUGCUGCAUGGUGGGGGUUGGAAAGUUUCGGCGGUUGGGGAUGGACUCGCGGCUUAUCAGCUUGUUGGUGGGGUAGUGGCUUACCAAGGCUUUGACGGGUAGCCGGCCUGAGAGGGUGACCGGCCACGAUUGGGACUGAGAUACGGCCCAGACUCCUACGGGAGGCAGCAGUGGGGAAUAUUGCACAAUGGGCGAAGCCUGAUGCAGCAACGCGCGUGCGGGAUGACGGCCUUGGGUGUAAACCGCUUUCGCCUGUGACGAAGCGUGAGUGACGGUAAUGGUAAAGAAGCACGGCUAACUACGUGCCAGCAGCCGC